GACGUAGGGGCGAGCGUUAUCCGGAUUCACUGGGCGUAAAGGGCGCGUAGGCGGCUGCGCAAGUCCGGCGUGAAAUGCCAAGGCUCAACCUUGGAUCGCCGUCGGAUACUGCGCUGGCUUGAGGACGGUAGAGGUCUGUGGAACUAGCGGUGUAGCGGUGAAAUGCGCAGAUAUCGCUAGGAACGCCGGUGGCGAAGGCGGCAGGCUGGGCCGUUCCUGACGCUGAGGCGCGAAAGCUAGGGGAGCGAACCGGAUUAGAACCUCGAGUCUCGNGA
This 275-nucleotide ribosomal RNA is filed under the name uncultured bacterium. RNAcentral describes it as "partial 16S ribosomal RNA". It matches the Rfam family "Bacterial small subunit ribosomal RNA", at positions 524 to 800 of the family's 1533-position model. The record is from RNAcentral.